AGGAGAGUUUGAUCCUGGCUCAGAACGAACGCUGGUGGCGUGUCUUAUACAUGCAAGUCGAGCGAGGCAGCAAUGCCGAGCGGCGAACGGGUGAGUAACGCGUAAGCAAUCUGCCCCGCAUAUUGGGAUAGCCGUGCCAACGCGCGGUUAAUGUCCAGGAGAGUGGCCCCCUGCAUGGGGGGUUGACUAGAGAUUUAUCGGUACGGGAUGAGCUUGCGUCCGAUUAGCUAGUUGGCGGGGCAACGGCCCACCAAGGCGACGAUCGGUAGCCGGCCUGAGAGGGUGAUCGGCCACAUUGGGACUGAGAUACGGCCCAGACUCCUACGGGAGGCAGCAGUAGGGAAUAUUGCACAAUGGGGGGAACCCUGAUGCAGCAACGCCACGUGUGGGAAGAAGCAUUUCGGUGUGUAAACCACUGUCGUGAGGGAAUAAGGCCUAUUCUAGGAUAGGAUUGAAUGUACCUCGAAAGGAAGCACCGGCAAACUUCGUGCCAGCAGCCGCGGUAAUACGAGGGGUGCAAGCGUUGUUCGGAAUCACUGGGCGUAAAGGGAGCGUAGGCGGAGAUUCAAGCGGAUUGUACAAUCCCGGGGCCCAACCCCGGACCUGCAGUCCGAACUGGAUCUCUUGGAUAGUUCAGGGGCAGGCGGAAUUCCUGGUGUAGCGGUGGAAUGCGUAGAGAUCAGGAAGAACACCGAUGGCGAAGGCAGCCUGCUGGGGACUCAUCGACGCUGAGGCUCGAAAGUGCGGGUAGCAAACAGGAUUAGAUACCCUGGUAGUCCCCU
Molecule: ribosomal RNA, 782 nt
Filed under: uncultured Fibrobacterota bacterium
Lineage: Bacteria; Pseudomonadati; Fibrobacterota
Description: bacterial SSU rRNA
Rfam family: Bacterial small subunit ribosomal RNA
Source: RNAcentral